Molecule: long non-coding RNA, 42719 nt
Filed under: Durio zibethinus
Lineage: Eukaryota; Viridiplantae; Streptophyta; Magnoliopsida; Malvales; Malvaceae
Description: long non-coding RNA (DZIB_LNC000722)
Source: RNAcentral
ACAGAUAUAAUCCACCCUAUUAUUGGAUCUAAUGACCCAUGAGAGGAAAAUUAAAUUUCCUGGCUCUAACGAUGGCCUUCGCUCUCAUUUAAGCAAGCCUGUUGUCUUACAAAUAGGACAUAGGUUCUUUAGCAUUAACCACUGUUUGAUGCAGUUAGUGUGGAAGUCAUGUCCACAAUCUAGUGUCCCAGUGUCAUCCCCAUCUGCAUAUUCUUCCUGCCAUGGUUAAAGUUCAAACAAGGUAAACAAAACUAAACUAACAGAAGCUUAAUGAAGCUAUUUAAAGCAGCAGAUCUACUCUCGUCUUGCAUCAUACCUGACAGAUACAACAUGGUUCCAAUUCCGUUGGGGAUUCUGUUGCAGUGGUCGAAUGCUUCUGCCGUUCCAUCAACUUCAGAAUCAUUUCCUCGCUCAGUCCAGUGCUCACAUCUCCUAUGCGUUCUUCUAAUGCCAACAAUUCCUAAUGUUCCAAUUGAUAUGUAAGAAGAAUAACCUCCAAUGUGAAGUGAUAGAACAUAAAGCAGCAACCCUUUUUACCUCAUAAGACAUGUUAUCAACAUCAAGACGCAUAUCUCUAUGUCUGUCAUGCAUCUCAGCCAUUCCAUGAUAUAUCAAUGGAUCAAACAGCAUAUAAUCCUGGAAGGGCGUCAUGUAAAGAUCUAAUAUCAAUACAACACCAUAUAAUGUAGGAAAGGACUAAGAAUUAUUAUCAGACAAAAAGCACUUCCUAGGCUUCUACCCGGGUGCUCCACUAAAAGAGUUCCUUGUCUCUCAUUUGGUGGAAAUCGGUUUAGAAAGUAUUUAGACAUGUAUUCAGUAUUCUGAAGGUUGCGAGCCUGUUUCUUUUCCUUUGUGGGACCAAAGGGUGCGAAAUCCUACUAUAAUUUUAUCCAAGAAUGCUAAGAAUCAAAGAUUGUGAGAAAAAUUUUGCUUAAAGGAUAUCAAGCCAUGCAUGUGACAUAAUGGCCAAAAAAAUCAAGACUAGACGAUAUGGAAUAUGAACAGAAAUGUGGCUUUAAAACAAGUGAACAUCACCAUAUCCUCACAUCACAAGCAUCUUCAACUGUUGAAGCAAUCAAGUCAGACAUCAAACAACCUCCCAUGCACCAAACUAUCCAAUAAUAUGCUUUGCCUGAAAAUUAACUCUGACAGAUUAUUCAAGACUAAGCUAGUAACAUAAGUCACACAGAAUUUGUUCUCAAUAAUGAAAACAUAUUCUAGAAUAUUGCAUUUAUCCCAACUAGUGAAAGGAGGCUGAUAAAGGAAGAGAAUGAUAUUGUUUCUGCUCAUCAGCACUGAGCUGUCUCCAACUUCUAUCAUUUCCUUGAAGAGACUAGAUAUAUUUCCACCAAAGCCACCUAAAUACUUGAUGCUACUAAGUUUUCAAUUCAAGACUAAGCUAGUAACAUAAGUCACACAGAAUUUGUUCUCAAUAAUGAAAACAUAUUCUAGAAUAUUGCAUUUAUCCCAACUAGUGAAAGGAGGCUGAUAAAGGAAGAGAAUGAUAUUGUUUCUGCUCAUCAGCACUGAGCUGUCUCCAACUUCUAUCAUUUCCUUGAAGAGACUAGAUAUAUUUCCACCAAAGCCACCUAAAUACUUGAUGCUACUAAGUUUUCAAUCCAGUCCCAAGACAAACAUUCAUUUUCAAAGAAAUCAAAACUCAUUGAAGUGCUGCUAUAGCAGUUAUUUGUAUUUUGAGAAAAUUUUUGUAUGAGAAAAAUUCAAUAAUUGGCAAAGGAUAUGAAAUGCAUAGAAACCAUAUCACCUAUAGAUAAAACUGUUGAGUGGAUAAAAGGCGAAAAGAAAAGGAAUGAAUCUUUUCAACUUUAGCCAGCUAAAUCAUUAUAGCCAAAGGACAAAAAUUAAUCUUUACUGCAAGCUCACAACCUAUUAUGAAAAUGUCAUGGUAACAUAACCAUUGCAUGAAUAAAAACCAAACCUCAAUGCGUAAGUUCUCCCCCCUAUGCAUGGCAUUCAAGACUUGGUGAAUCUGACAUAUGGAGAAGAAAAUGAGAAGUUACUGGAAAGUUUUUCUUAAGUUCAAUUCCCAUUAUAAAAAACCCUAUAAUUUUUACUGAUGUAUAUCUUUUAUCUCAAAUUUAAUUGGUCAACUUAUGUAAUAGACAUUAUUUUCUCAAAAUUGACAAAUUAAUAAGCUAUGAAACAACAGUAUAAACAGAUUAUGUAAUAGAUAUGGGUUGCAUAAUUAGGAAUUGAGCAAAAUAAAGAUGAUUUUGGCAGCUUUUUCUUGAAAAAAAGUUAAUAACAAAGAAGAGGUAAAUAGAAAUCAUCAACAUCCAACAAAAUUGAACAGAUGAAAAAAAAUAAUGAAAAUAACCUAAGAGAAGAGAGAACUAUGGAGAUGGCACAUUUUAGUAGAGAGAGACUAAAAAGUGGCAUAUGACUGGUGUAAAUAACCUACACAUAAUCAAUUUGUGAUUGUGAAGAACAUCAAAUAUGAAAUACGGAGAACAAAAAGAACAUUACUAAUAGGUAAUAGCAAUUUAGAAAUAAAACUGUCUUCUUAGAAUUGAUUUAUGAUUUAUGUGUUUGUUUGUGUGAGUAUAUGAACCAUGUUUGUGUGCACACAGGGGUGUAAGUUUAUAUGCAUAUAAACACAAUACUAUGUAUAGAUGCGCAUCAUAGGAUUGGAUAACUACGGUAUUUCUAGAAUGCGACAAAUCAUCAUUAUCUUGAAAGCCAAAUGUGCUACUAUUUAGUACUAAAAUUAAUUGAAAGCAACCCUAUUUCUUAGACAUAUAAAUGUACAGAGGCAAUUAAGUUAAAAAUUAGCAAAAAAAAAAAAAAAAAAAACUGUAGACCACAAACCUCAGAUAUUAGCCGGUGUCUCCCUUCAAUAUCAGCAGCCAAUGCUCGCAAUGAGUGGGCCAUCCUAAGAACAUCAUCACCAUGUCUUUCCAAUAUGAAUGCUGACCUUGGGUAUGGUAGAUUAUUCCCUUGGCGGUUAGAUCCAGAUGGCACCACCGUCUCUUGUGGGGAAGUGGAAGGGCCUGAAGAAAAUGGUGGAAAAUGGCCACUGUGACCGCCAGAUUCAGAAUCAAUUGGAGGAAAUAAAGACCAAGGAGCAAAUUCGGAUAGUCUUUGUUGAUUAUGUAUUGGAGGGUUGUGAGGAGGAAUCCAGGCAGAAGCGGGCAAAGGAUGGAUGCUUGAACUAGGCCCUGGUCGAUUAGAUGGAAUUCCUCCAGAAGUGCUAACAUUUCCAGAAGCCAAACUCCAACCUGUAGGAUCUUGUGCCACAUUUCGCAUCUCAGUUGCUGGUACAAACAUGGGAUGCUCUGUAUUGUUUGUUGGAAUAUUUCUUAUGUUUGGUUCCUCCCAUAAUGCAGCAGCUCUCUCUCCAGAAUUAACAGAACUUGAUGGGUUGCCAACUCUUGAAUUGGAAGAACCAUUCCAAGGGAAAGGAUGCACAUUUCUAGGCACAACGGGAGUAGUCCUCAUAUGAGGUUGAGUCGAGGGAGAACCGGAAUUUCCUGCUAUUGCUGCUGUUGAUCUCAAGUCUAAACGAUCACUAAAUGGGGCAACUCUAGGGUGACUAGGAGAGCCAAAAUUCGAAUGCCCGGUAACUGUUGUUGAUGAUAAACUAAAUGGUAAAGAUUCUUGUUGGUUUCCCGGAUUUCCUCUUCUUACACUUGAGAAGGAAAUGCAUCACGAACAACCCCUCUCAAACCAAGCACAACUCUUGGAUUCAGCUGAUCAGGAUGACUUACAUUAAGAAAAUUCCGAGAGGGUGUAGAUAAACUCAAGCUGCUGGAAGCAUCAUUACCAGCAGGACCAUCAUGCCACGCCGCAUUUUCAAUUCGUUGAAAACAGCUUGAAGUACCAGCAGAAUAAGACUGUCCAGAAGUACCUUCAAGGGCCUUCCUCUUGCAGGAUAAACCACAACUGCCCAAAGAGGAGCCUGAACCAUCAUUAGUUUUGUCCCCCACAUAAUUAGAGCUUCCAGAUGAACUACCAAUAUUAUCAGAAGAAACAAUUGCAUUAGAUAUCUGUUCUCUUUCUAGUCCACCUGAGUUGUGGAGAUUAGGACCUCCACCAAUUCCCACACCUAAACCCCUGGUACCACUACUGCUAAUAAAUCCUUCAUUUAGAUUCACAUUCUGCAGGACACGAUUAGAGCUGGAACCCUGCAUAUAUAUGGGCCCACUUCUUACCUGAUUGCCACUCUGUCCAUUAUUCAGUCUCCCAGGAAAAAAGACAUUCGGUGGUUCGAUCCGCAUUUCUUCUGACCUUGGAGCAACCCCAACACGAGCACCGUGAGAAGAAGACCAACUGCAUUCCAUUUUUGUCCCAUCAUCAUUAAGAUGGUGAUUUAGAACACCCUGCAUCACCUGGUUUUGCAGUCUCAAUCUUGAGCUCCGUUCACCAGAACUCCAGCCACUGAAGCUCUGAAUAUCGGGAAUAAUAGCAUUUCCAUGCAUUGUCCCACCAGAAGAUACUGUAUAACUGGAUAACUGAGUUUCCGCAGGAUUCAGCAUGUUAGGCAAAGAAUUCGGUUGACCGAUAGUGGUGUUUUCGGACUAGAUCCCUCAUCAAUGUUAACAGUUUCAGGGAAGGUAUCAAUGGUGCCCCCCUGACCUUGCAUCAGGGACAAUAUCUACCUAGAAAUAUGUCAGAUAUGCUAAAUAUUAUUCCAAAUUUCCAAAACAAAUGCCUGUUCAAUCUGCGUGCUUCUUAGGUCAAAAUACAAAAGGGAUACACAAGCACAGGCCAGUAGUUGAAAUCUGAAAAAUAAGCACAACAUCAAAUUCUCAUUUUAGUUAUGAAAGGGAAAAAAGAAGAUAGAGAGGGGUUAUGCAAUGCAGGAAGGAAAUUAUGUAAAGUAUUUUAAAAAAUCACAAUAUUCCAACCAACUUACAAAAUAAUUUCUGAAACUCCUGAAGUCUUUAGCUUUCCCAGGUAAUAUAGGAUUGACCAGUUGCAUUUGGUGUAUCACAUAUUUCAGCAAGCGAAAGCCCCAGCCACUAUCAUCUUGAACCCAAAGAAACACCUCUCAGUGACAACAGAUAUUGAUUUUUGACAGGAGGUGCAGGCAAGUAACUAUAUUUUACAUAGCAUGCAACGAGAAAUCCCAAUAGGUCAAGUAGAUCAAAACAAAAACAGAGUACCAAUAGUUUUAACUUCUAAAAUGCCAGCUCAAUUAGAGAUCAAUAUAUGAACUUGUAUUGACAGGUUUAUGGUUAUAAGGAAAGCAGUUGAUUGACUAUUUCUUUAUCCCAAGAGACUUUCCGCAUGGAAUGCACAAGGCAGUAAUUGUCUCGUUCAGGGCAUUCCAAGCAUAAAUAGCAGAUGAUCCACAAAACAAAAAAAUUCUGGAAGUAGGAAGCAGCAAAUAACAAGAGGAUUAACCAAACCUAACAAGCUAAAAGAGAAUGUUUACAAGAGAUCGCCUCUGAGUCUAUCAAGCAUCACCUAAUGACACAUUGGUAAAGGAUAAAAUGUUCUUCCAAUAAAUCAUUCAGUCUAAGAUAAUAUGCCCAAGAUGAGCAACUGUUAUGUCUUUCCGCUCAUAACCCGCUCCCUCAUACAUUAUAAUUGUUGUUUAAUAGUAUAUUGAAACGACUAAAACCAGUUGAACAAGAUAUUUUUAUUGUUUUUACUUUUCAGAUCCUACUGUCUUGAGAUUCAAGAUACGUGAGGCUGUUACUUUGUUCUUUUAUUGGCAUAGUCCCUUUCAAGCAACAUAGAUAAACAUGCAGGAUACAAACUCAAACUCACAUUUCAGAACCGCACACAUGCAAAUGCACCUAAGCAUAUGCAAAAUCAUGUUACCAGAACUGACCAGCUCAAAUUUUGUGUAAUUAUUUUUAACACUAAUUAACCUAGCCUUUUUAUCAACUCAUCUGCUGAACAUUCAUAAUCAAGAUGACUUCAAGACUCAUAAUUAGAAAUCCAAAGCAACUUAGAUACUUGGGAAAAAGAUGGCAACUUUAAGCCAGAUUAGCAAAUCAAUCUUUCUUCCAACAUCUUUUCUGCCUUCCAUUUUGACAUGUAAAGAUACUCUAUUCGCAAGCACUCUAUUCUUGUGCAAAAUCACAAAGCUUUAUAACUAGUCAUUCACAUUAAGUGCAGAAUCAAGCAGUAAAAUUCCAGUACCAUGACCAAAUGGAAACAAAGAAAGUGGCCAUUGCCACAAACCUACAACUCAACCAUAAAUUCAUCAAUAUUUUCAUGCAUUGUCAUCCAUAAUCAGGUGCAAGCUAGAACUAUAAUAAAGAACCAAUUGAUGAACACUGAAAAAGUAGUAUCAUAUACAAGCACAAUGCUAUUAAAAUUAUUACCACAUAUAAUGUGCUCGAUAUUCAAGACUUAGCUUCGACUCGCAAACAGGGAAGAAUUCAAGAUCUUUUGGCAAGAACAUUCAGACUAUUGCACUAAAUGCUUAGAAGCAAUUCAAGCAGAUCAAAAGGAAUAAAAUGCUGGGAUUGCGGGAACCGGAGAUCAAAUGUCACUUGUUCAAGCCUCAAAUUACAAAAUCAACAAAACGCAAUUUGAAGAAGCAGGAUCUCAACUGUCUAAGUAUGCAAAAUUAAGCAUCUGCAUCAAGAAAAAAAAAUUAACAAACCAUUAAACUAAAUGGAAACAACCAAAAAGGUCUUUUAAAAUCAUCUAAGCUGCUUCUUGUACUAGUAAAGCUUUGAUUUUUGGACAAAAAUCCGACAAAACAAGAAAACCCAAUACUAUUUCUUCCUCUAUUUAGUAAAAAAAAAAAACCAAAUUUAGCAUCAGAUGAUAAAUUGAGAUGCUCAUAUCCAAAUAUUUGACCGAAAAUUUUAUUUUAUGUGAAAAAAACGAAAAAUGAAAUAGCAAAUGCUUGUAGAUAAAUACCCAUUGAAAAAAAAAAAAACUUUGCAAAGAACCCAACAUGGGUCGACCUCGAUCCCUCGUACACUUUAAAAAAAAAAAAUCGAAUAAAAAAAUAAAGUAAACAACCAUAAAAUUAGCAAAAACAAAGAAAUCCCAGGACAAAAUAAAACGAUUUAAAAGAAAAAUAUUUUAGAACAUUAAAGCUAAUAUAUUUUAUUUAAAAAAAUCGCAUGGGUGAAGAGAAAUACCUGAAAAAGAAAGCUGAGAUGAUGAAACGAAGAGCGAUAAAAAAUUGGGUUUUUGAGAUUAAAAGGGUAUUAAGAGAAACAGUUGUCAAGAGAGGAAUCAGGGGCGUUUCUUCAAUUCGUUUCAUCCUGUUCUUUUUAUUUUUCAUUUUUUGGGGGAGUUUUUGGACUUUUCUCUUGCUCUCCUUAUUUUGCAAGAGAAGUAGAUCAUCGGAAUAGGACAAGACCAAAAGCCUGAAACAAUGGAUGAGAAACAGACAGAAAGAGAAAGAGAGUAAGUGUAUUUUGUUUGUAAUAUUGGUUUUUUUUUUUUAUUGAAUUUGUAAUAAGAUAAAUUCUGAAAAUAGGUACAACUUUUUGAAUAUAAAUAAAAAUAACAAAAAAAACAAAGUUUUUGUCUUGAAGUCUUUAAGUGCUUGAGGCAUUUUGUUGUAGACGUAUCUUUCAUGCAUUACCAUGGGCCCCAUUACUCGUUUUUUUUUUUUAUUGUUAUUUUCUGUCUAAUAAAAAUGUAAAUUAAAAAAAAAGUAGUUAAACCUCGGAGCCAGCCGGGGAAGGAUUUGGAUGAAGUUUAGCAAGCAAGACAAACGCAAUUACAGGCCAUGGUUACUAAAAUUGGGCCAAAUAAUUUUUAUUUGGUUGCGGAGGCAAGCAAGGCUUCUAGAAUGCCCAGAAUGGUUUUUUGGGUUAUUCCAACACCCAACUUCAUCAUUUCAACAUAAUGGCCAUUGUUAUUGGGGCUUCAAAAGAUGAAUGUUCAGAUGGAGGAGUUAUUCGGCAGCACCUUUUUAUUUUUAAUAAAAAAUUAUAAAAUAAAAACUACAUAUCUUAAAAUUUAAAUUUAAAAAAUAUUAUUUAUUAAUGAUGAUAGAAUGAAUUAAUAAAAUUAAAUUUCCAGUUGAUUUAUCUUUUAAUUUUGAUUUGGCUUGAUUUGUAAAAUAUAAAAAAAUUAUAUGUUUUUUUUUAAAUAUCCUCAAAUUUUUUAUUAGCAAUUAUUUGAUUUAAAGGAUUUGAUAAAUGGUUUCACUUAUUACAAUAACUAAUUUUAAGUUUUGGGGUCAAACAAUCCAAUUUUUUGUAUUCUACCCAUUUAUGUUUAUAAAAUAUGUCUACGCAUUUUCUUCUUAAUACUAUCCCUCUUCCAACUUAAUAUAUAUAUAUAUAUAUAAAUCACAAUUUAAAAAUAAAUAAAUAAAUUAUAAAUAUUAUAUAAAAUUUUAAUUUAUUAAAAAAUUUUAAAAAUAUCUACAUGAAUUAAGUAAAUUAAAAUUUGUUAUCAUCUUAAAUACUUUCAAAAUUAUUUAUUGCCAAAAUUUUUUUUAAUAGUACUAGUGUACUACAAAUUUCAAGGCACCUCCUCUCCGAAAAAACAAUGAAGUAAUUCAAAGCAUCCUAAUAUUUUGUCGUAAUAAACUGGAACUUAAUCCUUUUGGGUUAUAAGGAAAGCCCGUUGGAUCAUAUAAAUGACUAGCCCAAAAAAUGAAAUGUGAGCAGAAAAAUGCAGUGGAAAUGUGGAAUUGAAAAAGUGGAUGACCCACAAGCAGGUUCCAAAAAUUACAAAUUCCACACGAGCAAGCAGGUAGCCAGGUGUGUUCAAGUGUUGGGUCCUCCCUGAUUCACGUACCCAACACUCUCUGACACAAACCUCGAUUCCCAAGAAGACCAAUUCCUCAUUCCCCGACAAAAAGGCACGUUAUGGAUCCCCGGAAAUUGUCAGCUUUACUCUCUUCCCUUGUCUCUCAAUUCCUUUUAUUGCUUCUCCUUCUCUUCAAUUCUUACAAUUCCAAUAAUUUCGUUUCCGAUGGCAGCGUCUUUUCCAUCCUCAACUAUUUGCUGUCAUCGCAAGAAAUCGCCGCUAAUCUUUCCUUCGUUUCUGUUUCCAGGAAAAGGAAGAGAACCCGUUGUCCAGAAUCUGAAUCUGAACCCAUAGGUGAAGACGCGGGCCGUGAACUUUUACAUCGACUCGACGAUGACCGAGUCAGACUCUGCUUGACUCGGAAUCCUGACUCGUUCAAAGCCUGCUUUAGAAUGAGAUCUUCUAAUUUUGAGUGGCUCGCUGGGUUGCUCGAGCCGCUGCUAGAGUGCCGUGACCCGGUUGGCUCACCGUUGAAUCUAUCGGCUGAGUUAAGGCUUGGUAUUGGUUUAUUCAGAUUAGCCACCGGUUCAAGUUACCCUGAAAUCGCUCAACGAUUUGGGGUUUCCGAGUCUGUGACUCGUUUCUGUGCUAAACAUUUGUGCCGCGUUCUUUGCACCAAUUUCCGAUUUUGGGUUGCAUUUCCUAGUCCAGAGGAACUAAAGUCUGUAUCUUCAUCUUUUGAACAAUUUACGGGGUUGCCAAAUUGUUGCGGCGUUAUUUCUUGCAAUAGAUUCAAUAUUAUAAAUGAAAACAAUGGAAGCAUUGAUAGCAUUGCUGUUCAGUUAGUGGUGGAUUCAUCAUCAAGAAUUUUGAGCAUUGUUGCUGGUUUUAAGGGAGAUAAGGGUGAUUCUCUAGUCCUUAAAUCUUCAACUCUGUAUAAAGAUAUUGAGAAAGGGAGGUUACUCAAUUCAAGCCCAGUUAUGGUUAAUGGAGUGGCUAUAAGUCAAUAUUUGGUUGGCGAUGGAGGGUACCCUUUGCUUCCGUGGUUAAUGGUACCUUUCGUUGAUGUGGUUCCAGGGUCAAGCGAAAUGAAGUUCAAUGUGGCACUUAGUCCAAUGCAUGUUUCAGCAUUGAAAACUUUUGCUAGUUUGAGGAAUUGGGGAAUUUUGAAUCAACCAAUGCAAGAAGAACUUAAGACUGCGGUCGCAAUUAUUGGGGCUUGUUCAAUUCUGCAUAAUGUUUUGCUUAUGAGAGAGGAUGAUUCUGCAUUGUGUGAAUGGAUGGGAGAUUACUUGGUGCAUGAUCAGAGAUCUCAGUACUAUGAGGAAGCUAGCUUAGAUGAGAAUUCAAUUAGGAAAGAGGCUUCUGUUAUUCGAGAUGCAUUGGCAACAGAAGCUAGAGAAGCUCAUGUGUCAAGUUUGGGAGGCGAUCCAAGAAGUUCAGUAUAAUUGUAGCUCAACUAGAUUGCUUGAUUCAGUUUCAGAGUCUAAAUAUUACCGGAUUGUGACCAUUCAUGAUUCAACAAUUUUGAAAUAAGUGAUUGACAAUUCUUUUGCUCAUUUGAAACGAAAAUAAUUCCACCUGGAUUAGGCAUUUUUUCACCCUGGCAUUACACAUUCAUGACAGCAAGGAACUCUUUCCCUUUGUCUCCCUUUUUUUUUUUUUUUUGGUCUACCAAUUGAUUUUUGAAGAUGAAUCUAUUUCAGCAUCCUCCGUAGAUAUCAAUGGAAAAUGUAAGGAUUCUUCUGUCUGAUUGUAGUAGUAUUUAUUGGAUGGUAACUAUUUUUAAUUCAAUAGAAAGCAUGUUCUUUGUUUUCUAGUGCAACAAGUCUAUUACUUUUUAUUGAGAAUUGGAAUGGUAGAUUAUAAACCACACAUUGCAAAGAGACAUGGUUCCUUGUAAAGACAAACUGCUCAAAAAUAAAUAAAGGAAAUUACCGAAGAUUGUAAUCGUUGACGAUGUAUUGUUCUAAGCAACAACAUGAUGCGCUGUGACAAUGAUUUAACUGAAAUUAUGACAUAAGAUGGAGAGAAUUUGGCAUGGUUAACUCAUUCUGUUGCAGUGCUUGUUAAAUUUGUCAUGGUUUUAACAAGUAGUGUGUUUUUAUCUUUGGCCAAAAAAAAAAAAAAACUCAUUAUAUUGCAGUUAGUUUUCUCUAUUUCGAGUUCCUUCAUAUUUUAAUUAUUACUUUUUUUCCAAGAUAUAGAUGGGUGAUCAAGUUGGUUUAUGAUUUAAAACGACAGAAAAUACAGUAGGUGUGCUCGGACACACACCCCGACGGAAAUGUAGCUUCCAAUGCCUGUAGUCCUUGACCAUUGCAAGGCUUUAUCUGCUAUUCACAAACCUCAUGCAGAAAAGUGCUUUGUUCUUUACUACAAUUCAGUUUGGGGUUGAAUACAUGCAGAAAAGUAUUAUUGGAGAUUUUUUGCUUAAAAAUAUCAUAUAGUAUUUGAAUUUUUUUCAGUUGUAACAAACGACUGAACAUGCACAAUAAGUAUGAUGACCCUACACUCAUUGAUUAAAAUCCUGUAGGGAACUCAUCUAAUGCUAGGAGUAGGGUAUUGCGGCUAUUAAAUAUGUGAUUUGUCUUAUUAUGUAUCUUCAGCUUAUUUCAUUUCUGAAUCCAAUUUCACAAACUUUCAUUCUUCAUUCAAUUGUUGGUGACCUGGAGUAAUCAUAAGGAUUGUCUUACACAUCAGACUUCUUCUCCUUCUCUGGAAUACCAAGGCAAUUGUGUGAACUGUCUGUUGACAGAAAGAGAUAUCUGUUUCUGAAACACUGUUGCUGCAUUCUACCUAUACCCCGAACUGUACUUAUUUUUUAACCUGGAGGAGGAAAGGAUGGAUGAUAUAAUGCUUAAUCUGUAUUUAUAAGUGAUAUAAUCUUCCUACAAAUGGAACCAACAAUCUCAGAAAAGCACUGUAGAAAGAAAUGUCCAUUGCCAAAAUCUCACAUCCGAAGUCUAAAAACCAGGAUUCUUCAUGAUUCCCUUACCAAUCAAUCAAAAUCUCAUAGAUUUCCCUAUACUGAAAAUAAAGUUUGAAAUUGAAACAUAGCAAGAAAAAGCAGUGUAUUUUAUGUUAUCAGACUGCAGCUAGAAGAUUUCUGAUUUUGGGUGAUCAAAUUAUGAUACAAGAUCAUUGUCAACUGAUACAAGAGUAAAAACACUGGUGAAAUAAAGGAGCCUUACAGUCUUGUGGCUUGAAAUUUGUGGCCUUUGUGUCAAGGGACACCAGGAACAACAGAGCUGGAAAGACUUAUCCAAACAAUUCUAAUAAUCUGGUGUCUGGAAAUGAAUUAAUAACCAAAAACCUUACAAGAACUUUCAACUUUGCUCUUUCAUAUGCUUAAACUGCAGCUUUCUUUUGAGAACUCUCCAUACACUACAAGAAAAUGGCGUAUUAACGGUAAUUUUGUAGCGGCAUUUCACUUAUAAACACCGUUAACUUCCGUAUUUUUAUAAAACUUAAGACAUUUAUUAUAAAAAUGCCACUAAAUAUUCAAAUAGCAGCGUUGUUACUUAUAAACGCUACUAAAAACAAAAAUUAGCAGCGUUAAUCGAUUAAAAUGCUUUGAAUAAUCCUUUCUAAAAAAUUGGAGUGAUUAUUAAAGGCCUUUUUUUACAAAAAAAUGCCAUGAAUAAUCUUCUUAUAAAAAAUAAAAGCAAUUAUUGAUGGCGUUUUUUUGUAGAAAAUGCCUUCGAUAAUUUUUUAAAAAAAUUGUAGAGGAUUAUUAAAGGUGUUUUUGGUAAAAAAACACAUUCAAUAAUCUUUUCAUUUUUUAUGAGCACAUUAUUCAAGAUGUUUUUUGCUUGAAACAUCUUCAAUAAUCUCCUUAUAAAAAAUUAAGGGGAUUAUUGAAGGCGUUUUUUUUCAGAUAACGCCUUCAAUAAUCCCUUUAAAAAAUUAGAUGAGAUUAUUGAAUGUAUUCUUGGCUAAAAAAUUACAUCAAUAAUCUCCUCUAAAAAAAUUAGAAGAGAUUAUUGAAGGCAUUUCAAAAACGCCUUCAAUAAUUUUCUCAUCAAAAUUUAAGGGGAUUAUUGAAGGCAUUUUUUUUACAAAAAAAUACCUUCAAUAAUCUUCUCUAAAAAAUUUAAGAGAAUUAUUGAAGGUAUUUUUUUUAUAGAAAAUACCUUCAAUAGUCCUUUCUAAAAAAUUUAAGAGGAUUAUUGAAGGUGUUUUUUGCCUGAAAUGCCUUCAAUAAUCUUUUUUGCAAAUAGUGACAUUUGUUUAAAGUAAAUGUCACUAUCGUGAAAAAAUGACGCGCAUAAAAUUUUUCUUCAAAAUUUAAACCCCAUCUUUCUUCUUUAUAAUUUCAUUUCUUUCCCCAACUUUUUUAUUGGAAGAGAAUGGUAAGAAAGAAAAUUUAAAUCAAGAAGAUUGACAACGUAGCAACAAGGCGGGUGACUUUCUCAAAGAGAAGAUGAUGACUUUUCAAGAAAACUCAUGAGCUUUCCACUUUUUGCGAUGUUGAGAUAGCUCUUCUAGUCUUUUUAACCACAGGAAAGCGCUUUAGGUACUUCAACACAAGGUUGCUCUCACUUAUCUCAUAUCUACAUGUGAAUGCUUUGCCUUGAUUUCUGCUCUAUCUCUGUUGGUUUAAUAUGAAAAUCUUUGUUUGCUGUUUGAUUUAAUGUGUUGAAUGUGCUUGGGUGAGUGUGAGAGGAAGUGAGAAACGUAAUUGUUUUGAAAAAAAUAUUUUCAAAUCAAGGGAAUUGUAUAAAGUAUAAAUUCAUAAUAACUGAAUGUACUUGAAUCUUGUAUUCUAUUACAAAAAGAACUUCUUUUAAUAAUUUGUUGAAGCUGAGAGGUUUUGGGCUGAGAGGCCAUGGUUUCAGAUGAAUGUUUGUAUGAUAUUUGUUGAUGCUUGUUCGUACUUUCCUGAACCUUCUUUAAGCCAUAUUUUAUGACUAAUCAGAUAUCUUAUAAGAAGUUUAUGUUUUCAUAUAUCUUUUCUGGUGCAACUUAGAGCACAAACUGAUAUUUUAACUUUCAUUUUUCUUGUCAAAACUUGAUCUGCUGUCAUUUUCAUUUUCUUUCCAACCAAACAACUUUUAAUUUUAGUUUUCUUAAUUGAAUCUUGUUACAAUUUUAGGUUUCCUACAUUCUUUUUGAAUGUUCUUUAAGAUUUUCAUAAUGAAAUUUACAAAUUCUCAUGAUUUCCUUUUCAAAUUCUGCAAAAUUCACGUUGAACUUAAAUCUGGUUUCAAAAUCGUACACCUGACCUAUCUUCAGUGUUUUGAUCAAAACUCAAUGAAUUCUACCUUGAUUUACUUCAAAUGUUUUUCCUAGAUUCUUAGUUCAUAAGGCUAUAAUCUAGUAAAAAUUCAGCCUCAAAUUCCAUCUAUACAAGUAUAGUUAAAUCUUCAAAGUUAAGGCUGAAUUCAGAAGAUAGAAAUGAUCCAUGCAUGAAAACUUGAUGAAUGAUGAUCCUCUGUCCUUAUAGGUGUUCGAUUUGAUUCUCUCAUACUUUACAUUAUUAGUUUUACAUGUUUACUCAUUAUUUUUAAUUGAUUGCAUUUAUUUUCAUGAAUUCAUUUGGUGUUUGGAUAGAUUUAGUUGUUAAUGCUCUGUUUUUCUCUGUUUUAAGUAUCACUUGAGUUACUAGUUCAUAAAGCUAUUUUUCUCUAUUUUGCUACCAUUUUCUAGUUGAAUUUUGUAGCAAACUUGAUUAAUAAAUUGUAGUAAUUGAAAGGUGCAUACUGUAGACCUAUAAACUUGGAUUGGUCCUAUAUACUUUUUUCAAUUACUGUCUAAUGAUUUCAUGAUAUAGUUUUGGCUGCUACUAAGUCUAAAAAAGCAUUGAUCUCUAUAGACACAGCUGUACCAUCAAUUUAAAGUACAACAUAGUUGAUUUAUCCAUUACAUAAUUUGUAUUUCUCUCUUGAAACUCUAUUGCGUGGACAUUUUAUUUUGAAUGAUUGGUUUAUUUCCCUCUUGAAGCAUUUGAAUCCAUUUAUUUCUAUGAAUUUAUUUACAAGUAGAAAAUAUGAUUUGAAAUGGUUUAUCUUAUAAACUUCAUGGAAUCAAAUGAUCUUUAUCUUUUUCCAAUGCAAUCAAACAUGAACUUGAUUGAAGAUCUAUCUCUCAGCCUUUCAUAUAUUCUCUUUCUCUCAAAUUAUAUGAUACUGCAUUUCAAGUCUAGAAAUUUCAUAAUGAUAUAUGCAAAAUGGAAGAACUACGAUUAUGAAAGGCAUUUUCGUGAAAUGCACUCAGAGAAGAAGUGUACAUCAUUUUGCCUUGUGCAUUUAUCUUGAUCAUUGGCCAAAAAUAUAUACUUAGUUUAUUACUUUGGUUAAAUCUGUUUCUCUGUUGUUUCUGCAUGUAUGUAAAAAUGAGAUCUUGUAUAUCUUCUUUGAUUUUAUCUUGCAUUACAAAUUUUAUGAUAGUUUUUAUAACUUACCAAGUGACAUUUUUCAAUUAGGAUGGAACAUGAAGUUGUGGAGAAGAUAAAUGAAAUGUAUUGUGAUGCAUUUCUAACAACACAUUUUGAGGUUCCUGAAAAAAUGUUCUCUUUAGCAAUGGAAGCCAAGAUGAGGACUGGGCAUUGUAGGCUUCAUUCAAAGCAAGUGCGACUCCUUUUAUGAAGUCCAUUAAUGGGCAAGAAGAAAACAAGUGUAAAGUGAAAUGUUAUUGUAUGUAUUAAACUUUGUGUUACAUACAUAUUGGAACAAAUUAUGUAUUUAGAUAUUUAAAUAUUUAUAAUAUUCAGUUUAUGAAUUUAAUUCAUUUUUAUUUCUUUUAAUAAUUUUCAUUUAAUUAUAAUAAAUAUUAAAAAAAAAAAGGAAAAUUUUUUAUUUAGCGACGUUUGUAUUUAAAAAUGCCACUAAAUACUGAAUUUAGUAACGUUUUUAUUAGAAAAUACUGUCAAAUUUAGUGGCAUUUUUACUAUAAAUGUCGUUAUUUUCAGUAUUUAGUAGCAUUUUUAAAUACAAACGUCGUUAAAUUAGCAAUAUUUUUUUUAUACAAAUGUCACCAAUUUAAUGGUAUUUUUAUGAUAAAAACGUCAUUAAAUUAGUAGCGUCUUAAAGAUACAAAUGCCACUAAUAUAGCUACGUUUUUCAGAUGCAAACGUCGCUAAUAUAACGACAUUUUUUAGAUACAAAUAUCGUUAAUAUAACGGUAUUUUUUUUGAAAAUGCUGUUAUUUUUUGCGAUGUAUGUAUAGUCACCGUAGACACUCAAUUUGAUCCAGGUUCAGAUCAAUUGGGUCUGGUCCAAAUGGGGCAAGAUGGGUCCAUUUUUAUUUUUAUUUAUUAUUAUUAUUAUUUAUUUUUAUUUUAUUUUAUUUUUUUAGACUUUAUCUUUUCUUGAUUAAUUCUUGGUUAUGAGAUAAUAAUCAGAUUAAUUAAGAAUAAUAAAAAAAUAAUGAUGAAAAUAAAUUUUGUCAUGAAUCUGGGGGUUGGUAGAGUUUGGAUUGGAUUCAAAAAUUAAAUCCCAAUCACAAAUGAAAUUGGGAUUGAUCAAAAACUCUUCUGAUAAAUCCUUAUAAAUAAACGUUGGAACAGAUAUUAGAGGACAUGAAAUAGAGGGUAGAAAAUCGAAAGCAAGAAUUAAAAAAAUUUUGCAAGAAGUUAGAAGCAAUUUUAGGAUUUUUUAGGAAUUUUUCAAAAUUUUUGGUUUUUUUUUUUGGAAAUUUUUUGGAAAUUUUCCAAAUUUUGAUGAAUUUUUUCAAAGCUAGUUGAAUUUUUCGAUAAGUUUUUCGAUGUCGAUUGAAUUUUUCGAUAACGUUUCCCGAAUCCGAUAAAGAUUCCAGUGAAUGUUGAAUUUUUUUACGAACUUUCGACAACCUAACCCACAUUUCAGUGAUCAUUUUUAGAAUUCGGUUGAUAUUCAACCGGUGUUCAUCCGGUUAGAGAAAGAGGGAGAAAAGAGAAAGAAGAAUAGAGAGAAAAAAAAAAGAUCUGAAGCAAAAAAAUUGAAACUUGGGCUUUUAUAGCCUUAUCAAAACGAUGUCAUUUUGAGUUUAAAAAAGUCCCAAGAUCCAUGCAUUUUCCAUUCGACCGACCCGACCUGCAGCACGACCUGUUUUUGACCCCCGCCUCAGCCAAUCUUUUCGGUCGAGCCGAGCCACCAAGCUACAUCAUCCAAGCCUUUAUCUGUGCCUGGAGUUGAGUCACACCAACUCUUCAGCUGAGCCGUUUUGAUUUUUUUUUUGUAUUUUUUUAUUUUCUUUAGUUUUUUUGGUUUUUUUAUUUAUAUGUUUUUUUAAGUGUAUUUUUUGCAUGAAUUAAUUUUAAUAUAUAUAUAAUAUAAAUAUAAAAUAACAUUUUCAAGAAAAAAUAUUUUUAAGAAAAAGUUGAAAGUAUCAAUUUUUCUUAAAAAUAAAAUUUCUAAAAAAUAAAAAUUUUUAAAAGAUAUUUUUGAUAAAAAGUUGAAAGUAUCAAUUUUUCUUAAAAAUAAAAUUUCUAAAAAUAAAAAUUUCCAAAAGAUAUUUUUGAGGAAAAGUUAAAAAUAUCAAUUUUUUUAAAUUAAAAUAAAAAAAGGUAUUUUGCGAAAAAGUUGGAAGUACCAAUUUUUCUUAAAAGUAAAAAUUAUUAAGAAAAGUAUUUUGAUGAAAAGUUGAAAGUAUCAAUUUUUCUUAAAAUUAAAAUUUCAAAAAAAUAUAUUUUGAAAAAAAGUUGAAAGUACCAAUUUUUUUAAAAAAUAAAAAUUAUCAAGAAAAAAUAUUUUAAGAAAAAGUUGAAAGUAUCAAUUUUUUUUUAAAAUAAAAAUCUCUAAAUGCUUUAAGGAAAAGUUGAAGGUAUCAAUUUUCUUUGCACAAAAGCAAUAAGGUUUUUUUUUUUUGUAGAAAAUGAAAAGAAAAAUAUUUAUAUCAAAAGUUGAAUCAUUUUUUUCUUUCUUUUCUUGAAAAAUUUUUAAUGUUAAAUAAUCCAACGAUGAAGUCUCUGUAAAUGAAACAGUAGUUUUCUUGCAUAUUCUUGAGGUGAUAGAAUUUUCUUAAUUUUCUAUCAAAAGUAUUGAAGUUAAUUAAGAAUAAUUUCUAAUAAUUAAUUAUUUGAUAAAAUUUUUAAGGCUUAUCGGAUAACAUGAAAUUAAGUUAGUACUAUAUUUCGAUAGGUGUUGUAAGGGUACUAUAACUUUUCUCACUCGUAACCAAACUUUCAAACGUUAUUUUGGUUAAUAAACCUAAACCUAUUUUUUUAGGGACCCUUAGUCAAGCUUAGGUGUUCUUUGGAAGGAUAAAUUCCUUAGGUGACCAAUCGCACCUAAAUAAAAAAAAUUGAUGACAACUCCUUAAGUCAAUGUCUAGCAAUAGAUCUCCAGAUCUAUAUAUUAUGAUAGUUUGUUGACUCCAUUGGGGACUACUGAACAAAAAAUCUAUUCAAAAAUCUAUACUUUGUUAAUUUCAUCAUUCAUAUGCAUGUGCAUAACAUGAGCUCUAUACUCGUGCUCAAUCUCUCUAGGAAGGAGUAAAGUACCUAUUACUUUCGUGAGGUUUUAAUGCCUCCACAGUGGCUAGCGAAAUACUCUCACUCAAAUUGAACCUUUUUCGCUUGUAACCUGUAAUGCACGAAGAUUAGGGUGCCUUACUAGUCUGUAAUAGAUAAUGAUGUAAGAAGCAAUUUGAAAACCUUUAGACUUUAAGCUCGAACCACAUAAAAUGAACCUUAGAAAUCCCUAACCUAUAGAUAGAGCCAUCUCCUUCCCUUUUAAAUUGAUCAAAAGCAUAUGAUACAUUCCUCUUAUUGUGUGUGACAUUUUAAUUUAUUUAGUUAUUAUUUGUCCCUUUUUAUUUGAUGUACUAACCUCUUCUCUUAUUCAUGUUUGCAUGAUCCAUACUCAUAUCAUAAAGUUACAUAAAGAAUAUUUACCUAAAAGAUGAUCUUCAACAACAAGUUUUUCAUGGACUCCACAGAACGACUAGUUUGUUUUUCAUCUGUAUUAGCUCAUUGUGAGUCACCCAACGAAGUAAAGGUCCAAUUAGAAAAGAUUCAACUAAAGAUGCGGGAUUGUUUACCAAUCAGCUAUGUUUCUACUUUGUCUAAAGAGACAUCUUUCCUUUUCAAACAAAAUAAUAUAAAAGAUUUGGUUGAUAUAUGGAAGAAGAUGAGUCCAUCAAGAUAAGAAAAGUUUUGCUAGAGACAUGAGCAUAUGGCAUACCUUCUUGCAAUAAAUAUCGACAAUCAAUUAAUUAGAGCUAUAGCGUAAUUCUAAGAUCUUACAUACAAGUGUUUCAUCUUAAAUAAAGUUGAUAUGAUACCUACCAUCGAAGAAUAUUUGACUUUGUUGGGUUUGCACCUCAAAGCUCCUGACAAGAUAUACGUCAAAAAACACAAGUCAAAAUUUCGUAAAGAUUUAGCCCAUCUCAUGGGGAUAGAUAAAGAGAUUGUGGAUUCUCAUACAAAGAAGAAACAAGAACAGGUUUGCCUACUUUGAAAGUUUUUUUAUGAUUUUCUAGUAAAACAUGCCGACGAAAAAGGGAGGUUAGACAUAUUUGCCUUAGCCAUAUAUGAAAUUAUGGUUUUUCUGAAAGUUUUGGGUUAUAUUGAAAUAGCAGUGAUUGACUUCUUCGAAAGUGUGAUCAAUGGCUGUAACCCUUCAACAGUAAUAUUAACAGAGACUAUCAGAUCUUUGAGUUAUUAUCGUCAAAAUGGAGGAUAUUUUAUAGGUUGCAUACAAUUAUUGUACUUAUGGAUAAAAAGUCAUUUCAAGUGGAGAAAAUGUGCUUUCUCGAAGCUUUAUGUCAGCAAUUGAGCUUCGAUCAAGAAAUUUUAUGAAAGUGAGUGGUCAGAGUAAAAGUCUAAAAAUGAGUGGAUAGCUUUCUUACAAAAACUGACAAGUGCUAAAGUAAGAUAGUUAGUCCCGUGGAUGAAUCAUGAACCUAUGCUAUAUCAGUGUAGAGAUAACACUAUGGUCUUACUUCUGGGUUUAUGGGGAGUAACAAGUUAUGUGUCACUUCUAAUAAGAAGCCAGUUUGGGGCAGAACAGUUCAUUCCUGUGACGCAUAAGCUUCAUUAAUCAAAAUUUUCUUAUAGUGAGCCAAAAGCAUUUCAGAAGAUGAAUGAGGUAAUUAAAGCAUGAAAAAAUCCCUGUAAAAUGAGUCUUAGACCAUUUAUUGAUAAGAUCACUUAGGGGUACUUGGUUUGGAGAGCAAGAUGAAGAUAAAAAAUGGUAUUCACUUAUGAAAGAUUUCAAUCACCAAUAAAAGAAAAGCUUGAAGAGACACUAUUAGAAUUGAAGCUGGUAAUAAAAAAAUUUGAGAUAAAAAAAGAUAAGUUAAAGUAAAAAAUCCAAAAGCUUCAAGAGAAGAAGGAUCAAUGGAAAGACAGAGCUGAAAAGCAUAAAGUCAAAGUUUACAAAAUUGCUAGGGAAUGUGACAUAGCUAUUAAAGACUUAACGGAGCUACACCAUUAAUAUAAGAGAUUAUGUGUGAAGUUACAAGCCAAAGAGAUAACAAUUAUUAAACUGAUAGAUGAAAAUAAGCUAUUGACGUAAAAAUAUGCUAAAUUAAAGGAAGUAACCCAAGUACAGAUAAAAAGUAACAUAUUGAACAGCUACUUAAGCAAGUUGAGAUAAAAGUUGAAUGACCAAGAAGAUCACAUUACUGUAUUGGUUAGAGAGCAUAGAGAGUUAUCAUACAAAAUUUGGUAUGAUAAAGGGGAAAACCUAAGAAGAUAGAAGUACAUUGAGCACUUAAUGACCUAAAUUUACAAAAAGGGUAUGUAAGAUAAGAGAAAUGGUAAAAAAGGCAGAGGCAUUGAAACAAGUGGUGGCCUAGUAAGAGAACAUGGGCAGCGUCUUUUGAACUUCAUCGAGGAAGCUAAAGACCAGUAUGAAUAGAUCAAACGAUUUUAUGGUUAUAACUCUAGGAUGAUAAAUUCUAUGUAAAUGAAAGUUCUUUGGAAUAAAUGAAAUUUUUUAGUUGAACACUAUUUUAAGGUAAAUGUUCUCUUCAUGCAUAUAUUUUUAUUCAAUGUAUUUAACAAAGUAACCAUGAGAUAGUCAUAUAAACUUGCUAAUUCUAAUAUAUGGUAUUUAAAGUUCAAAGAUAGUUUCAUCUAGUAAGAACCCUAUCUACCGAUAUAACAUAAGAGCCAGAGCCUGACAAAUAGAGCAAGAAAACUCUCACCAAUUUGAAAAACUGAAAAAAGCACAAAAAAAGAUUGAGAAUGAGUUUAGUAAAAUUUUGGAUGCUCUCAACAAGUUAAAUAAGGGAAAAAAGAUAGAAGAGAACACAAGCUAACAGGGCUCUCUAUCAUAAAAAGUGAUCGACCUUCUAUAUCCUUCGAGUUUUAGUCCACAACAAGCUUAGUCCACACAAGAUAUACCAUCACAAUAAUUCAUAUAUCCUGUAUAUGCAGGAAUGCCAUCAACUUCGAACUCAGGGCAUUACCAUAGCUAUGUGAAUCUUGUCAUUAUUGAAAAGACAGUAAAAUCGAUCCAAGUUUCUAAUCUCGAUGACUUGAAAGAGAAGAAGAAAUAAAAGGCAAAGGUGGUGAAAUCUCAGAAAGAUUCGAAGAUUAGUAUGCUUGAACAAAGGUUAUAAGCUAUAGAAAGAAUUGAGUUUUAUGGUUCUAUUGACGCUGCUGGGCUGUGCUUAGCCCAGAUAUGGUUAUUUCACUAAAGUUUAAAGUAUCAAAAUUUGAGAAAUAUGAUGGUAUAAAGUGCUCAAAGACUCAUAUCAUCAUGUACUGUAAGAAGAUGACAACCCAUACUCAUAAUAAAAAACUAUUAAUACAUAUUUUUCAAGAUAGCCUUACAGGCUCUGCUACUAUGUGGUAUGUCCAUACAGAUAGAACUCGCAUCCAUUCUUGAAACGAUAUGACCCAUGAUUUCAUUAGUUAAUAUUGACAUAUCAUGAAUUUAACUCUUGAUCGUUUGUCUUUACAGAACAUAAAAAAAAAAGGUAAAUGAGUUCUUUAAGGAAUAUGCCCAGAGGUGGAGGGAUGUAGCUUCUUAAGUGCAACUUCCUCUAAUUGAAAAGAAAACUAUAGUGUUGUUCGUCAGUAAUAUGAAAUCUUUCUAUUAUGAAAAGAUGAUAGGGAAUGCAAUAAAAAAUUUUAUCAAUAUGGUGAUUUCAAGAGAAAUUAUUGAGAGUGCCAUCAAGAAUAACAAGUUAGAAAGAGGAGAUGCAUCAAGUAAAAGAGUUCCAAAGAAAAAAGAGAUCGAAGCUUAAGCCGUGAGUUUUAAUAGGCAACAAUUUAAGAGUUAUCAACCCUACCUAUCACAAGGAUAUCCUUCAUAUUAUCUUGCUAUGAAUAACAUUUUUUUUCCCAUACCAACCAUUCCCACAGUCAUCUUAUCCCCAAACAUAUUAAUCAUUUUUUAGGCCUCAAAAUACCACAUAUAAUCUUAAUACUCAACCUACCUUUAGAUCUCAGACCUGUCCAGCUAGCCCAAUUGAUGGAUCAUGAGAGCAACGAAUUACUACGUGAAAAGCUUGUAUUCGACCCAAGUCUCAUGACCUAUAUAGAGUUAUAUCGUGAGCUUUACAAUAGUCAUUUGAUUACUUCUAGCAAAUUAGAGCCAUUCAAGCCACUUUACCUUAAGUGGUAUGAUCCCACAGCCCAUUGUGAUUAUCACUAAGGGAUUGCUAGUCAUUCCACUGAGAAUUGCACUACCUUAAAAUAUAAAGUACAAUAUUUGAUUAAGGAUGAAAUGAUUAGCUUUGACACAUAAAGGGUAACUGCACUAAAUGUUAGUGGCAAUCCUUUGCCUAAUCAUAACAUAAAUACCUUGAGUAAUGAACAUUAGUGUCAUUUGAAGAAAAAAGUUACAGAUAUUAAGAUACCUUUCUAUCAACUAUUUGAUGCUCUGUGGAAAGCUGACAUGAUACAACCAAUAAGUUCACACUGUUAUCAUGGGGCAUAUAUAGUAGGUACUAGCUAUAAAUAUCAUAGUAGGGCAAUUAGUCACUCUAUCAAAAUUUAUGAGCUGUUUCACCAAAAGGUAUAAAAGCUCAUGGAUUCGUAUCAAGUGGAACUCUAUGAAGAAUGAGAAGUCUGAAAGAAUAUUGAGGUGUCUAUGACUAAUAGGCCAGUAAAAUUAUUUUCAAAGUUGGUGACAAUUCACUGUGGGAAUAAGCCAAAGUCAGUUAUAGAUAAACUCAUUUUCAAGUUAGUAACUUUUAAAGUUUCGGUUCCAUUUCGUAUAAGGAUGACAAAGCUAUACCCUAAAAAUAUGACUGUGAUAUGGUAGUUCAGGGGCAAAAGAAAAGUACUUUUAAAUUUGAUGCUGCUAACAUAACAGGUCUAGGGGGCAUCACUCGAAGUGAAAUAUGCUACAUUUCAAAAAUACUAGAGAGGGCUAAAAAAAAAAGGCCAAGGUAGGUGAAAAGCGAAAUAACCUCAAAGUGAAACUUGAAGAGGAUCGUCCAAAGCUAGUGUUAGAAGAAAAACCUUGUGAAUUCCUAAAAUUGAUAAAACACAGUGAAUAUUCUAUGUUAAACAGUUAAAUAAAAUGUCAGCAUGAAUCUCAUUAUUAUCACUGCUUUUGAAUUCGAAACUACACCAAAAUGCCCUGCUAAAAGUGUUGAACCAGCCAUACGUGGCACAUAAUGUGUUUAUUGAAUAUGUGAACCACUUAGCUGAAAAUCUAGUCAUAUUGAACUAUAUUUUAUUUAGUGAUGAUGAGAUUCCCCUAUAAUGAAGGGAAAGUGCCAAGGCUCUGCACCUCACAAUCAAAUGCACAGUUAAAUACAAAAGCCAUAUCAUGGCCAAAGUCCUUAUUGAUAAUGGCUUCGCUAUCAACGUCAUGCUUAUGUUAACUUUGGCAAGGCUACCUAUCGAUUACUCUCAUAUGAAGGACAGUCAAAUAGUUGUGUGAGCUUUUGAUGGGACCGAACGAAAAGUCUUAAAAGAUAUUGAGAUGCCUUUGUAAAUUAGGCUGUGCACUUUUAAUGUAAAGUUUCAAGUGAUGGACAUCUCUCUAUCUUAUAUAGAGAAGGCAAAAAAACUCAUACCUAAUGGGUUUCGGUCUGACCUGACCUUUUAGGGUCAAUGUUUUUUAAAAAAAAAAUUAGGUAUCGAGUCGGGUCGAGUAGCAUGAAGAAAAAGUCAGGGUCGAGUUUUAGGCAAACCCGACCCUACCCAACCUAAUAUAUAUAUAUAAAUAAUUUUUUUAAUUAAUUUUUUAAUUUUUUAUUUAUAUAUAUUUAUAUAAUGAUAUUUUUAAAUAUUUAUAUUUAAAAAAUAAUAUUUUAUUAAUUUUAAGUUGGGUCGGGUCGGGUACGAUUUAUAUAAUAUUGGGUCAGGGUCGGGUUCAGGUAUGGAAAAAUAAAAAAUUUUUCGAGUAGGGUCAGGUUUGGGUUUAUUAAAGCAUAAGUCGGGUCGGGUUUGAGACGAGCAAAACCCGUCCCAAACCUGACCCAAUGCCAACCCUAAUCUUAUAGCUGUCUGCUGGAAAGGCCAUGGAUUCACAUGGCAGAGGCUAUUCCUUCUAUCCUAUACUAAAAAAUUAAGUUCAAUGUGGAAGGCCAGUUAAUGGUAGUGUUCGAAGAAAAAGAUAUGUUGGUAACUCAAUUGUUGAAUGCUUCAUAUAUGGCAGCUACUGAGGAAGCAAUGGAAUACUCUUAUCGAUCCUUCAAAUUAGUCAACUUUAUGGGUGAAAGAUUUAAAAAUCAACCUUUUUGAGAGAUAGUAAUGUGCCAAAUCAUCAAUAAGGGUUGGUAUCCAGGAGUAAGGCUAGACAAAAACUUACAGGAAAUAAGAAAGCCUCAAAUAGUGGUAGAGAACAAUGAAAGGCUAGGCCUAGGCUAAUGAAGUAGCAGAAUGGGAAAUUAGAAGAAGACCAGUAGGUAAAACAACAAGACUAAUGAUCAUCCCAUACUUGUAUGAGACUUUCAGGUCUAGAAGAUUCAUAUACCUAAAUACAAAAAAAAGUAUGGAAGAGGUAUUCACCCAGUUAACCAUCCAUGUUAUUAAAGAUGAAACGAGGCUUGAACAAGAAUGGUGGGCCUACUUUUGUCUGCUAGAUUAUGAGCUAAACAAUUGGAGUACCAUUGAAAUACAUUUUACCUUUGAGACUAAUUCAAUGUAAUUAUACAUCCCAAUAGCUAUUGCCCAAGGCAUUAGUGUAAUCUUUCUUGUUUGGGCCAUUUAUCUUUUAUUGUUUUAAUAAAGAUUAGGAAGGAUGCAUUUUUAUUCAUUUCUUCUUAUGCUUUUAUUAUUGCCAUUUUUUUAUUUUUCCAAACACAUCUUACUAACAUAUCCCAUUUCAUUCAAUUUGAAGUUUUUAAAUGAACAAGAAGAUAAUUAUGAUAACGAUCAAGAGGUUAAUUUUAAAAAUUCAAUUAACACUAAUGAACUUGACAAUAAGGAUGCUUCUGAAGAGUAUGUUAUACCUCCGGAUCUAAUAAGAUUGAUUAAACAAGAAAGUAAAUAAAUUGAGCUUCAUUAGGAGAUAACUAACUUGAUAAACAUAGGAGAUGAGAAAAAUAAGAAAUAGGUCAGAAUUGGUACUUCACUUUCAUCGGGAGAUAGGCAACGUUUAGAAAGUCUACUUUAAAAUUCAUAGAUGUGUUUACUUGGUCUUACCAGGAUAUAUCAAGACUGAGUGUGGAGAUAGUAGAGCAUAAACUGCCCCUAAAGCUAAAAUGUAAGCCAGUCUAACAAAAACUGAGGCGAAUGAAACUUGAAAUGCUACUAAAAAUCAAAGAAGAGGUAAAGAAGUAGUUUGAUACAGGUUUUUUACAAGUGGCUGAGUAUCUAGAGUGGGUAGCCAAUAUAGUACCAAUUCUUAAGAAAGAUGAAAGUGUAUGAAUAUGUGUAGACUAUCAUGAUUUGAAUAGGGCUAACCCAAAGGAUAACUUUUGUUUACCUCAUAUCAAUACACUGGUAGAUAACACGACUAAGCAUUCAAUGUUCUCCUUUAUGGAUGGAUUCUCAGGAUAUAAUCAAAUAAAAAUGGCUAUAAAUGAUAUAAAAAAUACUACUUUCUUGACUAUGUGGGGGACCUUUUGCUAUAAAAUUAUGCCUAUUAGGUUAAAGAAUNNNNNNNNNNNNNNNNNNNNNNNNNNNNNNNNNNNNNNNNNNNNNNNNNNNNNNNNNNNNNNNNNNNNNNNNNNNNNNNNNNNNNNNNNNNNNNNNNNNNNNNNNNNNNNNNNNNNNNNNNNNNNNNNNNNNNNNNNNNNNNNNNNNNNNNNNNNNNNNNNNNNNNNNNNNNNNNNNNNNNNNNNNNNNNNNNNNNNNNNNNNNNNNNNNNNNNNNNNNNNNNNNNNNNNNNNNNNNNNNNNNNNNNNNNNNNNNNNNNNNNNNNNNNNNNNNNNNNNNNNNNNNNNNNNNNNNNNNNNNNNNNNNNNNNNNNNNNNNNNNNNNNNNNNNNNNNNNNNNNNNNNNNNNNNNNNNNNNNNNNNNNNNNNNNNNNNNNNNNNNNNNNNNNNNNNNNNNNNNNNNNNNNNNNNNNNNNNNNNNNNNNNNNNNNNNNNNNNNNNNNNNNNNNNNNNNNNNNNNNNNNNNNNNNNNNNNNNNNNNNNNNNNNNNNNNNNNNNNNNNNNNNNNNNNNNNNNNNNNNNNNNNNNNNNNNNNNNNNNNNNNNNNNNNNNNNNNNNNNNNNNNNNNNNNNNNNNNNNNNNNNNNNNNNNNNNNNNNNNNNNNNNNNNNNNNNNNNNNNNNNNNNNNNNNNNNNNNNNNNNNNNNNNNNNNNNNNNNNNNNNNNNNNNNNNNNNNNNNNNNNNNNNNNNNNNNNNNNNNNNNNNNNNNNNNNNNNNNNNNNNNNNNNNNNNNNNNNNNNNNNNNNNNNNNNNNNNNNNNNNNNNNNNNNNNNNNNNNNNNNNNNNNNNNNNNNNNNNNNNNNNNNNNNNNNNNNNNNNNNNNNNNNNNNNNNNNNNNNNNNNNNNNNNNNNNNNNNNNNNNNNNNNNNNNNNNNNNNNNNNNNNNNNNNNNNNNNNNNNNNNNNNNNNNNNNNNNNNNNNNNNNNNNNNNNNNNNNNNNNNNNNNNNNNNNNNNNNNNNNNNNNNNNNNNNNNNNNNNNNNNNNNNNNNNNNNNNNNNNNAACCCUAAGAAAGUAUAUUAUCAAGCUAAUUAUAGCUAAAUUGUCAAAAAAAGAUUUCUUCCACUUCAAGGGUCUUAAUGCAACUAAUUAAAAGUUUUUUUUUCUUUGAUUUGCUUCAAAUUGAAGGAUUCGCUCCGUUUGUUGCUAUUCAAAAAACCAAAACCUUUCUUGUUUACAUAUUGUUGUAAUUUUCUCAGGUCCUUGCAACCUUUUGUAAGGCACAAAAGCAUUAAUUUUAAAAGUAGUAAACUUUGAAGAUUGAGGUUGCCAUUGGUUACGAUUCCUUUUUCAUUAUCUUUAUUUUUUUUUGAAAAUUUUCACUCACAAAGCAAGAUUUGACACCACACCAGACUGUAAAGCGAGCCCUAACAUAAUUUUGUCUUCAUGAUUUCCAUAGGACAUCCAAACCAUGACAGCAUGCAUAAAGCUAGUCUUCUUACUAGCCAGUAAAAGCAUAGACAUGAACACAUUACCUAAAAACGUAGAUAAGAUAAAAAUAUCCACAUUUCUUGAUGAUGGGCACGGCUCAAUUCACACCUAUUCCCUUUAUUCGUUUUUUUUUCAGAAAAAUGAGGCAACUCAAUUCACAGCUAUGUUUUCAAAACAAAAUAUACUAAACAUAAAAGUUUUGGAUUUUACUUUUUGAAGUUUCCACUGGAGUUAAAUUGAAACAAAUAAUUAUAAUUUGCUGGAAAAGUAAUGUUUCAAAUUUCAAUAUCUCACAUUCCAAAUUUUUUAAAAAAUAGUGCAUGAUGUGGAAAAACACCAAACUAUAAGGACUCGAUUGCGAAACAAAAGCCAGCCCAUUAUUAAUGAUGCUCAAUCAAAUCUGAAAAAACAAACAGUGGUUGUGUUGAUGUAAACAGAAGUUAGAUUUUAGGCUUGGAAAAAGGUGGGACCCACCAAGUCGCACAUAUUCUUUGACCAACAAACCCUUCCCCCAAUUCAACUCUUCGGUUAGGUUCCACAGUCCAGACUUAUAAAAGCCACACGUGUGGCCCUUAGUCAGAUAAGAGCAGACCCCCAGCCCAAGCCCCCUUUACCCUGCCCCCUUCCCAGUCCCACCACUCCCUUAUGGUAUAGCUGUUGGGUACUUGUCUCUCUGUUCCAAAAUUUUUAUAUAUAUAAGUGUGAAACCAAAACCGGGCACCAAACAAAUUUCUCCAGAGAAUUCUCGGAGUCCUCUUCCCACCCCUACUGAUUUACUUUUUUUUUCCCUUUUUGUCUCUGGAGAUGCCUGGAAGUAUAGAGCCAUUAGAUUUGGUUGGUGUGCAAGUUCCUUACCAUUUCAGGUGUCCUAUUUCACUUGAGCUCAUGCGUGACCCUGUAACAGUCAGCACCGGCCAAACCUAUGACCGAACCAGCAUUGAGUCAUGGGUAGCUACCGGUAACUCCACUUGUCCUGUUACUCGAGCCCCACUCUCCGACUUCACUCUCAUCCCUAACCAUACCCUUCGCCGCCUUAUUCAAGAUUGGUGUGUCGCCAACCAGGCCUUUGGUAUCGAGCGAAUUCCUACUCCUAAACAACCUGCUGAGCCUACCAUGGUUCGGUCCUUACUGAAUCAAGCUUCUUCCGUUUCGAAUCCGUUUCAAUCUCGUCUUUCUGCUCUGCGUCGACUCAAGGGACUCGCCCGCGACUCCGACAAUAAUCGUUCCGUGAUUUCCUCCCAUAACGCACGUGAAAUGCUCAUAAGCAUUCUAUUUUCAGAUACGGGUUCCAGUUCGUCGGAGUUGAACCAUGAGGCACUUGCGCUUUUAGUAAUGUUUCAGCUUACCGAAUCCGAGUGCGCAUCAAUCGCUUCGGAUUCAAACAAAGUAACCUACUUGUCACACUUCUUGUCCCAUUCGUCGAUUGAAGUCGAGUCACCUCAGCUUCGCUCAUCGAAAUCGUUCUCGCCGGAACAAGAUCGUCAGAUCUUCGAGCUCAGAUAUGCAAUGUAGAUGAAAUUUUCGAAGGCGUCACCGACAUAUUAAAAAACCUCAGCUCUUAUCCACGCGCGUUAAAAAUCAGCAUUCGAGCUCUUUUUGCCUUGUGCUUAGUAAAACAAACCAGGCACAAAGCUGUUCAAGCCGGAGCAGCCGAGACGUUGAUUGACCGGUUAGCCGAUUUGGAUAAGUGCGAUGCUGAACGAGCUUUAGCUGCGAUAGAAUUAUUAUGUCGGAUCCCCUCUGGGUGUUCAGCCUUCGCGGCACACGCGCUUACAGUUCCAUUGUUGGUCAAGACAAUAUUGAAGAUUUCGGACAGGGCUACUGAGUACGCAGCCGGUGCGCUCCUGGCACUGUGUUCGGAGUCGGAACAGAGUCAAAGGGACGCGGUGAGUGCGGGUGUUCUGACGCAGCUGCUAUUGUUGGUUCAAAGUGAUUGUACGGACAGGGCUAAGAGGAAGGCUCAAAUGCUGCUUAAGUUGCUUCGGGAUUCGUGGCCUGAAGAUUCUAUUGGGAAUUCGGAUGAUUUUGCUUGCAAUGAAAUCGUACUCUUUUGAAUGAUAGAUUUUUACUUACUAGUUUUUUUUUUUUUUUAUAACUUAAGAUUUUAAUUCUAAAAAAAAUAAAAUUUCAGGGUCUUAGAUGGGUAUAUAGAGGAAGAUUGUAAUUUUAUUGUAUGUAAUUUUGUACGUAAGAAUUUUUGUCAAGCAAAACAGAAGAAAAGAUAGAUCUGUUCUUGGUGUAUGCAAUUUUUUUUAUUUUUGUUUUUGUUAUUAUUUCAUAUUUUGCGGGAACUCUUGAUGAGGGUAAUUAGUUUAUGGGUGAAAUGAGCUUGCAAAGUCUUCAAUAAUUAUGAAACUUGAUUUGAUUUGAUUUGGUGGGUGCGACGCAUGUUUCAUAGCUGUUCGGCAGACUUUUCCUGAAAAUUAGAGUUGAACGUUGGCUUUUGAAAGAGCUAACCAUAUUGACCUCAGCGUAGCUACUGGAUUUGAAUUCAAACCCCUGUAAUUAAUCCAACUUGUAGUCUCAGAUUUGUUUAAGAAUUAAUCGAACAGCUGAAAUCAAUAUAAUAAAAAAGGAAAAAAAAAAAACUCCAUAUAUUUUUUCUGUAAGAAAUACUACAAAUUACAAACGCAGUACAGAAUCAGUUUUUGGCAAUCAAAUGUUACAAAUGUCUAAGUUAGAGUGGGGAAUAAACGUGGUUCUAGUAUCUGAUAACCGGUUAUAGAAAGCUGAUCCUCAUAAAAUCACAUUCAAAUCCUGGAACUGUCCCCUGACUCCAGACCAUCUCCUUCAUCUUUCUUUUUCUCUCUCUUUUUCCCUAUUUUCUCCAGAGAUCUGACAGUAAAAGUUCUGUUUCCUUAUUAUUUUUUUUGUUGGGGGUAAUCUGUUAAUUCCUGUCUUUCUUUUUUUUUCUUACUUUCUGCUGAAACUGGGAUUUGACUUUGGACUGCCAAAGAUAGCUAAGCUAGUUCUUUCAUGCUCGCGUGCAGCGUGCAUGCUAGAGGUCCAAAGAUGAAUCAUGGCAAGGAAACAGGGAAGGGUAGGGUCCCCUCUAGAAGGACCCCCCACCCUAAUGUUGAAAUGGAAAAAUAGGUAUGUGGCUUAAAGAUGUGGGGAGAAGAUGGGUCACAUGUUGGUGGGAAUAAAACCAUGGAAUCACGUGGGCUGGUUCAUAUUCUUCCUCCCUGUGGGUGAUGGCUACUAGUACUCACAUGCCCCAAACACCAACUUUGUUCCUACUCUUUUUGUCACAACAACGAUUGGGAAAUUCGUUUGUCUUUGCGCCCUCUUUGAUUUUUGCAGCAUUUGGGUCCCAACCAUUAAUGUCUUCCCUCUUAACUUUUUUUGAAUUUGGAACUUGCUGAAUCACCCAUGUGCUGCCAAAUCAUGAGGGUUUUUUUACCUGAAAAUAGUUUGCAGAAGAUGACAUUUAUCUUUAGGUGAUGAAAGUUUUUAUGAUAAUAGGCUUUGGUUAGCGACAACCAUAGAAAAGCUUCAUGAAGCUGACUAGUGUUUUGAGUAUUGACACAUUAAUUACUCGAAAACAACGACAACCAGAACCAGAACAUGAACGUAUUAAACAUUGCCAAUGUAAAGACCUGUCAAGUGCGUAUACACAAUGUUUCAACCUGGCACAACCAAAUUGUGGUUUACAAUUGCAGGAAUUGCUUUUGAAUAUGUAGUAAUAAAGUUUCCCUUGCUUUUUACAGCCCCUUCAAUUAUUCUUUGUACAAAUGUACUUCGAGUUUGAGUUGAUCAGUUAUUUUUGUGCUGCAUGGUAGUAAAUGGAGUAGAACGAAUGCCUAUCCAUUCAAGGUUGUGAUUUGUGAACAAUGGAAGAGCAACACCUGCUUUUCUUGAACCUCGUACAAGAAUCUGUUCUGUUCGAGUAUGCUCUUGUAGUACGACAAAAAUUCUCCACUAUCUGUUUGAGUAUGAUUUGAAGUACCUAUAGCUCUCAGACACGCUAGAUCUGGAAUAUAAGUCAUGAUCUUUGAGGAAAGAAUUGCAAGCCGAGUUCUUGACCAUUUAAUGUACAGUUGCAACAUUCUUCGGCUAUAAAGAGUUUACCUUAUACAACUUUUGGAUAUCAUACAUAUUUGAAAUUCAUAAACUAGAAUAGCUAUGAUCCUUGAUUGUCCCCCCGCUUCCUGCGUUAUAUUUUGGAGACUAAGAUAAGCUUUGAUCUUGACCAGAGUUCCUUCUAAAAUUGAAAGACAAAGAUAAGCUGCCUGUUUUAUAUUUCUGUUCUGGGGGGAGGAAUCUUAAGAUUAUUCCUGAUGUGGACAUUUGUAUAUUCAUUUCUUAAGCCCAAUUCAUCUCACUUUGGGUAGUAUUAUGACCCACAAAACCUGACGAGAACUCUACCAAUAGUAUUUAUUUAAAAGGAUCUAAGACCCUCAACACUCGUGUUUAAAGGAGGGGUUGGACGGCCCAAAAUUACAUAGUAGUGUUUGAAAGUUGAAUCCGAAGUUUUGUUUUUUUUCUUUUUUUUUUUUAAAUCAACAUAUUUUUCUUAAAAAUAUGUUCUACAUUAUUGGGAGGAUUUUUAGGAUGGUCCGCAUGGACAAAGACUGCUGAUAUGGAGUCUAACUGGAGGUGAGAUAGAGUCGCCGUUGGCAUGAAGUUGUCAAAAAUGUUGGAUUUGUACUUGCUGUGAUAGGGGCAGUUCGCACCUCCCCUUCCUCGGUUCUAGUCUAACAGACAACUAGUUCUACUCUAGCCCACAACUAGUUAACCUAGAGAUGGUGAAAUAUGAUCGAGAAAAGUUGAAGUUUUCCUGCAGAUGCCUCAGUUUGAGGUUAAGCGAAAAUUGGUAGUAUGCGUCGGCGGUAAGAAGUGAGAGAUGUCAGCCAAAUGGGUUAAGGACAAAUACCGGGUUUUGUCCUGGUGUUUUUGGGUUUGGUAAAAAAAAAAAAAAAAAACUAUUAUUAUUAUUUUUAUUUAUUUAUUUAUUUUUUUGCAUAAUCAAACUCCAUCCCUUUAGCCUUUAGAAAAUGUGGACGAGGGAUUUGAUUCCAAUAGCAACCCUAUUAGCAAUAUCAAUUGCAUAUUUUCUUCUCUCUUGAACAAAACAAAGAGUUGAGAGUAUUGAAAAUAUUUUGAUGAAGUAAAGUUGUACACUAAAAAUUCUGGAUUAUGCAUUUUCUAUCUAAUGUAUAUAUAAACGAAAUUAAGACUAUAAUAAAUUCCUAUUUAUUGUGGUUGUCGAACAAAUUAACUUGAAGUCACGGUGUGUGCAAAAGUACUCCAUGUCACUGUUCAAUCAAAAUAACCUGUUCACUCAUUAUGCCUUUUUAACAAUGCCAGAUUAUUCUCAUCCAUGUAUAAUCAAUUCAAGAGAAUAAGAACCAACUGAUACAUGAGCACAAGAUCAUAAAGCACGUAGUUCACACGAGGUACUAAUGAGAAACUUUAUUUCUUUCUCUCGUAUCAGGGAAAGCAAUUGCUCGUCAUAUUGGUUCGCGCAUGCAGGAUCUUUGUGUUGGGAAUGUGGGUCCAGCCCUAUUGUUUCCACCAAUUAAAACGCCUAAAGACUUAAUAUGAAAUAAAAGCCCUAAAUAAUAAAAAAGUGGGGCCCUAUUUUUGGUGAUUAGGGAGUGGCGCCGAAAAAAGAAAAAGAAAAAUCAGAAAAGAUACAAAAAAAAAAAAGAAGAGUUAUAUGAUCAAUGAAAAUUGAUUUGUGAUUUAAUUGAAUUAAAAUUUUAUUAGUAAGUUUAUGAUUUAAUAUUUUAUAUUUUGAAUGAUGGAAAUCAAUUUGAAACUCUUUAAGAAUGAAUUUAAGAUGUAUUUAUUAAGUUAUUUAUUUAGUGAGUUUUUUUAAUUGUCUCUUUAAUUAUUAAUUAGUUCUAGUUUUAACUAGAGAAAAAUUUUAUAUGUUCAUUAUUUGAUAGUGAAAAUUUUUCUAGUGAUCCAUAGUUUUUUUCCUUUACAUUUGAUGAUUUUUUACGUAAAUCUUGAUGUACUUUAUUUUUAUUGCAUUGUUUAUUAUUGAUUGUUAUUUAUUAUUACGAGUUUCUUGCGAUAUAUUGCUUUUAUGUUAUUGUGUUUGUCACUUCAAGCCCAAUAAAUGAUAUCAAAGCUUGGUUAUUUUAAUAUAUUGAUACAUAAACAAUUCAGAAUAGAAAUAAAUUUUAUUGAGAUCAUGGAGAGUGAUAUAGGUUCCAUAAUAAAAUUAACAGUAUCAAAUUAUUCAAUUUGAAAGCCUAUGAUGAAAGAUAAUUUAUACUAUAAAGAUUUGUAUGAGUCAAUAUUAGAUGAUUUAGCUAAGCUAAUAGAUAUGAAAGAUGAAAGCUAAAAGAAAGUAAACAGGAAGACACAGGCCACAAUAAGAAAAUGGGUUGAUAUCAGUAUUUUUCAUUAUAUAGUAGAGGAGACAGAUGUCCACACCAUUUGAAAAAAAUUAGUAAUGUUAUAUGAGAGAAAAACAGGCAUAAAUAAAGUUAUAUUUGUUAAAAAGAUUGCAACUUUAUAAUAUAGGGAUAGACGAUCGAUUACAAAGCACUUGAGUGAUUUUCAAUAUAGAUUCAAUCGGACGACUACUAUGGAGCUUAAGAUGGAUGAUGAAAUAAAGGCAUCAUUUUUUUUUUUUUGGAUUCAUUGCCAAACAGCUGAAAUACUUUAGUUGUGACUGUUCUUAAUUUAGCUUUUAAUUAUAAGGUAACAUUAAAGAUGGUAAAAGAUAGUAUGCUUGAUGAAGAAGGAAGGUAAAAAGAUUCAAACUCUGAGAAUCAAGCUCUUGUCACAAAGAACAGGGAUAAAAACAUCAAUAGAGGUUGAAACUUAAAAGAUCGUAAUAAGUUUAGACAUAAAUCCAAGUCCAGAGAUAAAGUGAAGUGUUACCAUUGUGGUAAACAUGAUUAUGUAAAGCAAAACUAUAAAAUCUUGAAGCAAGAACGAAAAUAUAUUAUAGGUUGAUGACAAAUGUUAGAGUUCAGUUGAUGACAAUAUUGCAAUAGUGAAUUUAGAUAGUGAUUCAAUUACUUUGAUUUAUACACAUGACGAUUGUAAUCAUAUAAGUAAUUCUGGUAUUAAGAGGGUAGUUGACACAUGAGCGACAUAUCAAUGUGUUCAUAAGAGGGAGUUGUUUACAACUUUUAAAGUAAGAGAUUUUGGUUGCAUCAAUAUAGAAAACAAGAUUGUGUUACAGAUUGUUGAGAUUUGUUAUAUUGUUGUACAAACUAGUACGGGUUGUAUAUUGACUUUAAAAGAUGUUAGACAUAUUUCAGAUAUGAGAAUAAACUUAUUUGUGAUUAAUGUCCUUAAUAAAGAUAUGAGAGUCGAUAAAACAAUAGGUAAUGAAAGCUUCUCAAAGGAUCUAUGAUAGUGGUAAUAAAAAAAUUAUGCUACACAAUAUACAAAAUAUUGAUGUAAUUGAAAGGCAAUAAGAUAAAUACCGUUGAUGAUGAUGUCAAAUAUAUGGCAUAAAAGGCUGGCACACAUAAGUGAUAAGGGAUUAUAGGUUUUGGCAAGCCAAUCUCUUAUUUUUUUAAUAAAAGGUAUAUUUCUAGAUUCAUAUAAUCAUUGUUUGUAUGAUAAGCAUCGUAAAGUUUUUUUUUGUAAAUAUUCUCAGAUAAAAGAAAAUAUAUUAGAAUUAAUUUAUUUUGAAGUAUGUGGUCUUAUUAAGGUUGAACCAUUGGAUGACAGCAAAUAUUUUAUUACUUUUAUUUAUGAUGCUUUACAUAAAACUUGGGUAUAUAUAUUGAAAAACAAAAGCUAGGUGCUGUAAUAUUUUUAAAAAUUUAAUGCCAUGAUGAAAAAGAUGACAGGGUUACUCUUGAAGUCUAUUCAGACUAAUAAUGGUAGGGAAGACACGUCUAAAAACUUUGAAGAAUAUUGUUUAAAGCAUGAAAUCAGGCAUGAGAUGACAGAAUUUGGAACACCAUAACAUAAUGGUGUACCUUAAAGGAUGAACUGCACUAUUAUAAAAAAAGUUAAAUGUAUGCUGAGAAUGACAAAAUUACUAAAGCUAUUCUAGGGUGAAAUAGUCAACAAAGCUUGUUAUUUACUUAACAGAUCACUGUUAGUUCUUUUAGGUGUUGACAUUUUAGAAAUAGUGUAGACAGAAAAAGAUGCUUCAUACUCUCACUUAAAAAUUUUUGGGUGUAAAGUAUUCAUGCAUAUGUCAAAGAAACAGAUGUUAAAACUUGAUAGUAAAGCUACACAGUGUGUGUUUGUCAAAUAUAGUGAUAAAAAAUUUAGUUACAGGGUAUAAGAUCUAGUGAAAAAAAAGAUAAUUAGAAGUAGAGAUGUAAUCUUUCACGAAAAAGAAACCAUAGUAAGCAUUGAGAAAAAUGAGAAAACUAUAUAGAUUAUUAUUGAGUAUAAUGUUUCAACAUCGAUAAAGGUUCCAUAAUAAAGAGCCAUUGAUGGUGAAAAUAAGCAAGAGACAGAACUUGAAGAUACAAAUAAGUCAACCAUGGUUAGUGAUAAGUUAGAUGUAAUCAGUUUUAAAUAAAAGAAACAAUAUUUUCUACCUGAAAAUGUUGAGCAGGGUGAGCAGUCUUUUCUAUUAGAAAGUGUUGAGCAUAGAAAACUAUCUUCGGUAUUAAGUAGUGUAGAGUUUCAGCUUAAAAGAUCUACUAGAGAGUACAAACCAUCUAAUAAGUAUCUAAGUUUAGAUUUUAUUUUAGUUACUAGUAAAAAGAGCCAAAAAAUUUUCAAGAUAUAUGACUACUCUAGAUAGGGAACACUAAUUAAAAGAAAUGAAAGAAGAAGUAGAGUCAUUGCGAAAAAAUGGUACAUAUGAUCUUAUUAACUUUUUGAAAAGGAGGAGACCAUUGAAAAAUAAGUAGAUGUUCAAGUUAAAAAAAGAUGGCAAUAAACUAGUGAGGUAUAAAGGUUGAUUGGUGGUGAAAGAUUUUUUUCAAAAACUCAACAUUGAUUUUGAUGAGAUAUUCUCUUCAAUUGUGAAUAUGAGUUCUAUUUGAGUGAUACUAGGAUUAGUAGCUAGUUUGAAUAUUAAGCUUGAGUAACUUGAUGUUAAGAUUGCAUUAUUACAUGGUGACUUACAAUAAGAUAUUUAUAUGGAUCAACCUGAUAUAUUUAAAGUGAAAGGGAAAGAAUAUUUAGUUUGCAAAAUGAAAAAAAAGCUUGUAUAGCUUGAAACAAGCUUCACAGCAAUGGUACAAUGAGUUUGAUUUUUUUAUGGUGGGUCACGACUAUAAAAUAGCGGCAGCAGAUCUUUAUAUAUAUGUUAAAAAUUUUUUUAUGGUAACUUUAUUAUUUUUUUAUUAUAUGUUGAUAAUAUGUUGAUUGUAGUACAAGAUGUUGGUAUAAUUUACAAGUUGAAAGAACAAUUUUUUAAGUUGUUUGACAUAAAAGAUUUAGGUCUAACAAAAUAGAUUCUUAGUAUGGAUAUUAUCCUAGAUAGGAGAGCUAAAAAAUUAUGGUUGUCACAAGAAAAGUAUAUUGAAUGGGCAUUUAGUAGAUUUAACAUAUAAUAUGCUAAAUUAAUUAGUAGUUUACUUGUCAAUCAUUUUCAUUUGAAUAAGAAAUCUUGUUCAAAAGAAAGAGCAACUAGCUAUGUUUAGAUGCACUGAGAAACAGUGAAAUAGUUUUUAGAUAUUUGAGAGGCACCUUGAAGAUGUGUUUGAGUUAUGAAAUAUACAACCAAUUCUAAAAAGGUUUACUAAUACUGGCAUAGCAUGUGAUUUUAAUGAUAACUUCAAGGUAUUUGUUAACUUUUGUAGGAAGAACUAUGUUUUGACAGUUUAAAUUAUAGAAGUGUGUUGCUUUGUCAAAUACAGAGGUCGAGUAUAUUUUAGCAAUCGAAAUAGGUAAAUAAAUGCUUUGGAUGAAAUAUUUUCUUCUUGAAUUGAGAUUAAAUCAGAAUAAGUAUGUGGUAUUUUGUGAUAGCUAGAAUGCUUUAGAUUUCAGUAAAAAUAUCAUGUACCAUGCUAAAAUAAAACACAUUAAUGUUAGAUAUCUCUAGCUACAUUUGAUGAUUGAAGAACAUUAGAUGUAGUUAAAAAAAGUUUAUAUUGAUGAAAAUGCAGUAAAUAUAUUGACUAAGACACUUCUUAAGAAAAAUUUUAAGUUCUGUAGUAACUUGGUCAUAAUGGGUUCCUUGGUCAAGGUAAGUUCCAAAUGAGUACUAUAGUGAUGAAUCUCUUCUUAAUAGAGCUAGAGGGAGAGAUUGUUUGAAAAAUAGGGUCAGCUCUAUUGUUUCCACCAAUUAAAAGGCCCAAAGCCUUUUAACUUAACGUGAAAUAAAAGCCCUAAAUAAUAAAGAAGUUUAGAGCUAUUUUUGGUAAUUAAGGAGUGGCACUGAAAAGGGAAAAAGAAAAAUUAGAAAAGAUAGAGAGAAAAUGAAGAGAUGAGAGUUAUUAGUUGAACGGAAGUCGAUUCGUAGUCCGAUUGAGCUAAAAUUUUAUAAGCAAGUUCAUGAUUUAGUGUUUUACAUUCUGAACAGUAGAGAUCAAGUUUGAAGCUCUCUAGGAACAAGUUCAUGGUGCAUUUGUUGAAUCACCUAGUUAGUAAGAUUUCUCCAAAUUGUCAUUUUAGUUAUUGAUCAGCUCUAGUUUUAGUUAAAUGAGAACUUUGUAUAUUCAUUAUUUGAUAAUUGAGAUUUUUCUGAUGGUUCAUAGUUUUUUUCUUUAUACUUAAGGGUUUUUCAUGUAAAUCUUAGUGUGUUUUAUUUUUCUUGCUUUGUUGAUUGUUGAUUUUUAUCUAUUACUAUGAGUUUAUUGCGAUAUAUUGCAUAUAAGUUAUUAUAUUUGUUGCUUCAAGCCCAACAGUUUGAAUAUCUUUUUUUUUUUUUUAAAGUGUCGAAUUAUGCAUGUAUAUUUGAACAGUUCGGGCAUCGUUUUUCUUUCAUUAUUAAUGAAAGAAAAAAUUGUACGAGGAUAGAGAUCAGAGGGAGGUUGAAAAUGUUGUUACGCAUCAAAACAUAUCUUUUUUUUUUCCUUUCUUUCAUAUUAGAAAAGCCAAUAUUUUCUGGAAAUAUCAUGAUUAUAGGUUGAAGUUAAAGCCUUCAGGUAUAGACUAUGGAGGGAGGGCAGCUAGAAUCAUAUCCUAAUUGAGGCUGCAAAUUCGAGCAAACAAAGCAACAUGCAGAAUAUUGGUAGCUAAUUGGUAAAAGGAUCUUGUCAAUGGCGAUGGAUUUACUCCAUAUCUCUUAUACUAAAACUCGGGUCGCUUUUACCAAAAGAAGCAAUAAUAUGUAUUUGAGGGCCUAGUUUAUGCUAUGAUCAGGAAGAGACGCAGCACAUGAUCUCAGCUGCAGCUUGUUUGAACAUUUCUUCCACUUGAAAUGCCGCUGACAGCUGAUUGGAAGCUCCACUUGCCUGGACAAUACACCCAACACAGAAUUGGUGUAAGAUACAAAUGCAAAGUUGGUGCUAAAAAGAAUUUAAUUUAAUCAGUAAAAAGGCUUUGAUUGAGCUUUCUGAUCUAUAUUAUCAAUUUUAAUAUAUAAACAAUAUUGACAAGAAUUUUGAGGGAUUUCCACCGACAAGAAUGUCUAAAAUUAGUUCUAUAGAAUGGUUUUCAUUUAGCAUGUCUAAAAGACAAUAAUCUUCUUGCUGUGGUGAACAAGAAUGCUGGAAGUGGCAAAUUAUAAGUAAAAAAUUAUAUAGAUAAUUUGAGGCAGAGAUCAGAGAAGUACAAACUUACAUGCGCUUGAAUCAUGAACAUGCUUUGAUUAGAAUCUGACGAAACAUGCGCAGAUAUCACCUCUAUUUUGUGCUUCUCCAAAAUAUAGCAAAUAGUGGUGAACAGCCCUGGCUUCUUUGGUGAGCACACGCUUAUUUGUGCUUCGUUACCGCAUAAGUUCAACACAACGUUGGAAGAAGUCCAUGUUUGAAAUAGUACAGGGAAUUGAGAGACCAAAAGAGAAUUCGAAAAAAUGGUUGGGUCACUAGAAGAUACUUGAUCAGCCAAGAAUGCCUCCCUGCAUAAAUCAAAAGCUUGCUUUUGGUUGUUCAUCAUGGAGGAGGGCUCAUAACCAACAUGAUUGGAACCUUGGAGCCUCUCUAGCUUUUGUUUUCGUAGCUUUUGGAGAGUUUGUUGUAGGGUUUCGAUAUAGUUUACUGCUUCAUCAACUAUGGUGGAUUUGUCAGCCUGUGUAAAUUAAAUUCGAUGGAGUUAGCCCAAUCUUCAUCGGGUGCCAACUUUUCAUAUCAUGAUUAAGAUUGGUUUAUUAUAUAGGCAAGUAACUAGACCAUGAAUGAUCUCCCUGGUUCAGAAAAAACCGUCAACCAAAACCGGGAUUUGGAAAAUUAUGCAGAUUAUGACAACUCAGUUACAAUAAAUAGUUAAAUACAUUUCCAUCUUAAGUCAUAAACAAAUAAAGGAAGAAAUCUGACUACUCAUUGAAGCAUUUUCUAUAACCGAAACUAUAAGUGACACGAUUUUUACUUUCUUUUGACAAUGACAAAAAAUUGGCCUGGUUUUACCAAUUUUUUUCCCUAUCUCCACAGUAAGUUCUCAGAAUUUGUCAAAAACUUAAUAACUUCAAGAAGGAACCAUUUUUUAAAUUUUGAUUUUUCUUGAUCAUGAAUGAAUAUGUAUCUUCUCAUAGAAAAUUCAGCCAGACCAAGAGAUUAUCUUCUUACUUUUUUUGAGGCCAAGCAUGGUAGAAACAAAAUGCAAAAGUUUUUCAAAGUUCAGAAUAUCAAAACGUUACCACUUUUUUAUUUUCAACAGCUUGCCGUCUAUUCUUAGUUUGUUUAUGUUUGAUAAGUAACUAUCCGAAAGUUGAAGAGCAAGACCAAGAUAUAAGAAAGAGACUGUCACUUAUAUUACCUUAGGAGGAAGCUGAGGAAGCAAAGCAUGAAGGUUAGAAAACAUGUUUCUCAUCUUCUUCCUCCUCUCUCUUUCUGUCCAUAUAUGCAUUUCAUGAUCAUCCGAUUCACCUCCUCCUCCUCCUCCUUUCCCAUUCUUUUCACCCCCUCCUCCAAGUUCUCUCUUAUUGUUCUUCUCAGUCUCGUCUUGUAAAGUUUCUUGCUCUUGUUGGUUUUUGCCUGAUUUCUCAUCACUACCAGCACCAGUACCAGUUGAAUUAUUAUCUGAAUUGGAUAAGGCCCAUGACUGGUUUUCCAAUAAUAAAAAACUUUCAUGGCCGCCUUCCUCUGACAUGACUGGGUAUAGCUAGCUAGAAGAAAGAGAGAGAAAAUAAAGAGGUGAGAAGAAGAGAAGAGAGAAGGCGUUUAAAAGGUGGCAAACAAGGCAGAGAGAGAGGGCGGGGGGGAUUCUGUUUGGAGUAGGAAGAAAGGAAGGGAGGAAGAGCCGAAAAUACAAUCAUAAGGCAAUGCCGUUACUGAGAAUCAAAACAAAAACGUACAUAUAUAUGAUUUAGCCUAAAGCGCGUUGUAACAAAUAUUUUUUUUCUCUUCGUUUGAGGGUUCCACAACUCAUGAUGACCCCACCGUAUUUUGCCAUUUGCCAUUUACCAUUUACUAUAAAGACUGAUUUUUACAAUUACAUGGCCCCACUCUUUCUUUCACAAAUUACUGUUUUUUUGUCUUCUAUAGUUUUUGAAAAACAUAAAGAAAAAAGGUUUUGACUUGUUUUCUGGUAAUGAAGUUACUGAGUCUAUAUUAGGCUAAAGUUUAAAACAAUAUAAAAAAAAACUCAUACACACAAUGUAUAAGAAAUUAACAUUGUUAGACAUUCAAUUACAUGGAAAAAAUUUAAAUAAAAUUUUUUAUUAAAAAUUAUUAAAAAUUAAAAUUAAAAAUAAAGAUUGAUAAAUUAUAAGAUCUUAUUAUAUAAAUCAAGUAUACAAAAUGUAAAAUUUUUUUUUAUAAAUUUUGAUACAUUUUUAAGAUAAAUAUUUUUAGUAAAAUUUUGACAAAAUUUAUGUUGUUGAUAAAUACUAAUCAAAUUUGAAUUAUAAACGUUAUUUUUAAAAUUGUAAUUGUAAUUAAUUUAUCAAUUUAAAUUUUUUAUUAAAAUUGUAAUUAAAUUCUUUAUAUUAAAAAAUUUACAAACUUUAUUUAAAACUUUUCACAUAAUUGUAGAAAUAUUAUAAUAAUAUUCAAUCAUCGACGUUCAAACAUUUUAACUCAGCUCACAACUCAAAACACAAACAUAUAUAAUUAAUCUUAUAUCAAACAAAUUUAUGAGCAGUACUCUCUCUAAUAAUCUCAGCCCAAAUAUUCAUUUGUAUAGACACUCAUUUUUAUAUAACUCUACGUACAUAUAUUCAUAUCUCAUUCUAUAAACACUCUUCUCAAUUUAUAAAUUCACUAAAUUGAUUAUUAAAUAAACUUAAUUAUUAAGUAAUAUCUUUAAUGGAUUUUUUUGAAGUUGUUAAAAUUUAAAUCUUAAUUAUUAAAACAAAAAAUUAAAUACUUUAUUAAUACAUCGUAUGAUUAUUGAUAGAAUAUUUUCAUUCAUUAUAUAAGAUAUAUGAUUCAAGAAAAAAGAAAGUUGUGAAACUGCUCUUAUUCUUUGAAAAUGAAGGAAAGCAUCAUAUAAAUUGCUCUUAUAUGAUGGAAAGUAACAAUUUUUUUAAAUUAAAAAAUGGAUCCAUGGUUUCUUCAAACAAAUCACAAUGAAAUUAAGAUUUUUUUAUAUUCGUUCACACGAGCAUACUUUAAAAAAAAAAAAGAGAUUUAUUUUAUAUAAUAAUGAAUUAAUCCAAAAUAUUUCAUGUUGUUGCUAUCACAUCUGAUGAUGAUCUAAAAAGUAAUCGAUCAAAAACGACUCAAGAUGUGUUACUUUGGGCUUUUUUUUUCCCUUAUAAAAUGGGUGAGAUAUGGGAGGUUUCAAAUUUCAAAAUUGGCCACGCAGCCUUGGGGACAGCAGUUGUAUCCAAAAUAAAAGAGGUCUAGUGGCAGAAAGAGUUCAUUUGUGUAUGUACUUCAUAAAAGAGGUUGAGUGUAUAACACUAAUACUAAUAAUAAUAAUAAUAUUUUUUUUUUUUUAUGAAAAUAAAGAAAACGUGGAUGCGUCAUCACAUCAAACAGCCAGAAGCCAUAUAGAUGGCCUGAAAUCCAUUAAAAUAGCUUAAAAUUUUUGUUCUUUUGUAUUUUGUCUCCGACGAAACUGAAAAUAUAUAUUCUUUAUAAACAAUUGAAAGGAUAAAAGUAUGAUUGCAAUAAAAAUUGAAAAAAUUUACAGGGACUUGUUAUGGUUAUAGUACUUGAUAGCUUUCACUUGCAUAACCCCGGCUAAUGCCUAAUUAUAUCACUAGCUUAUGGAAAAAAUAAAAUGGCUUCAAAAUAUUUACAGAGGCUUGCUUAUGUAAUAAGGACCAAGGGGACUCGUUUGGGCAGUAAAUACAGUCCAAAGCCAUAAAAAUGCCCAAACGCUCAAAACAAUAAUAUACUAGCAGCACAUUCAUAAGUUCCAACAGAAUCAUUGAGAACUAAUGUUGACCUUCUUAAAGCAUGAUAAUGUCAUGUCAAAAAUAUUAAUUCAAAUAUGUUAUCAUUGUUAUGCCACAAACUCAUCCUGUAAUUCAUGGCAGUAACAACUGCUCCAUGGCCUUGAAAGUUGUAGUUUCAUAAGCAAGAAAGCCGGUUUAAAUCACAGAUAUAAUCCACCCUAUUAUUGGAUCUAAUGACCAUGAUGAGGAAAAUUAAAUUUCCUGGCUCUAACGAUGGCCUUCGCUCUCAUUUAAGCAAGCCUGUUGUCUUACAAAUAGGGACAUAGGUUCUUUAGCAUUAACCACUGUUUGAUGCAGUUAGUGUGGAAGUCAUGUCCACAAUCUAGUGUCCCAGUGUCAUCCCCAUCUGCAUAUUCUUCCUGCCAUGGUUAAAG